UCCGCUGCAUGCUAGCAGCUCCGUCUCCACUGCAUGCUAGCAGUUCCGUCCGUCUCCACUGCAUACUAGCUGCUCUGUCUCCGCUGCAUGCUAGCAGCUCCGUCCGUCUCCACUGCAUGCUAGCAGCUCCGUCCGUCUCCACUGCAUGCUAGCAGCUCUGUCCGUCUCCACUGCAUGCUAGCUGCUCCGUCCGUCUCCACUGCAUGCUAGCAGCUCCGUCCGUCUCCACUGCAUGCUAGCAGCUCCGUCCGUCUCCACUGCAUGCUAGCAGCUCCGUCUGUCUCCACUGCAUACUAGCAGCUCCGUCUCCACUGCAUGCUAGCUGCUCUGUCUCCACUGCAUGCUAGCUGCUCCAUCCGUCUCCACUGCAUGCUAGCAGCUCCGUCUGUCUCCACUGCAUACUAGCAGCUCCGUCUCCACUGCAUGCUAGCUGCUCUGUCUCCACUGCAUGCUAGCUGCUCCGUCCGUCUCCACUGCAUGCUAGCAGGUCCGUCCGUCUCCACUGCAUGCUAGCAGCUCUGUCUCCACUGCAUGCUAGCAGUUCCGUCCGUCUCCACUGCAUACUAGCUGCUCUGUCUCCGCUGCAUGCUAGCAGCUCUGUCCGUCUCCACUGCAUGCUAGCUGUUCCGUCCGUCUCCACUGCAUGCUAGCAGCUCUGUCCGUCUCCACUGCAUGCUAGCAGCUCUGUCCGUCUCCACUGCAUGCUAGCAGCUCCGUCCGUCUCCACUGCAUGCUAGCAGCUCCGUCCGUCUCCACUGCAUGCUAGCAGCUCCAUCCUACGCUGCCGCCAGACUGCCGGCUCCAUCCUGUUUUCCUGACAGGUCAAGGAAGGACAUAGAUUCAGUUUGUCUUGAAACAAAACUGUCCAGGUUUGUGGAGAACCUCGAUGUAGACACUAAUGAGGUGGAGGAGAUCAGAGACUUAAUGAAGAAGGUGUUGAUUUAUGAAAAUGAAUUAGAUAGAUGGAUAGAUGGAUAGAUACUUUAUUAAUCAUUUGACACAAACUAUGUUCAAACUCCAUCCUCUAGCACUUAUUUUGUUCACCAGUUAAGCUGGAUGUUUAAAACAACCUCUCAGUGAAAUGUCAGCUCAGAUUUCAGUGAUUUAUUAACAUCAUGUUAAACAUGUCUGUGGAGCAGUAAGGAACAGACACAAUUAUGUGUGUGCGACCGCUGGAAGCGUCAUUUUAUUCUACCACUAACAUGACAGUAACUUCAGUGGUGAUGAACUUACUGGUCCUGGAACCUGAGUGCCACCUACUGUUACGAAAACGCACAGUUGUAUGGAAAACCUCAGCGCUUCCAGAGGCGUCACCUGCCAUCACUAAAAGGAAAUGACGUCAGAAAAUUAUCACCUGUCAGAGUCGUGGCAGCCAUCUUGUCCUGCAGCUUAAACAGGAAUCAGGCCUCAGCAGCUGCUCUCUUAUUGGUCCAUGAGCAGGCGGGCUCUCAAACCUGAUUGGACAACAGAUGUGUGAUGAAAUUCAACGGAAUCAAGGGUGGAUCCAAGUUAGAAAAACUCUUGUCUGACUGGUUUCAGAGACGAGGAAACGGUUGCAGCCAUGACACGGCUAGGUCGACUACAU
Amphiprion ocellaris (clown anemonefish) is the source of this 1585-nucleotide long non-coding RNA. Lineage: Eukaryota; Metazoa; Chordata; Actinopteri; Pomacentridae. The record is from Ensembl.